This 269-nucleotide long non-coding RNA is filed under the name Mytilus galloprovincialis (Mediterranean mussel). Lineage: Eukaryota; Metazoa; Mollusca; Bivalvia; Mytilida; Mytilidae. The record is from RNAcentral.
AAAAAUUACUGUAGAUUGGAACAUUUUUGUAUUAGAUUUAAUUUUGCUAAUUUCUCAUUAAAAAUCAAUGACAGAGGAUCUAAGCCUACCAGGUAAUUUAGAUUCAUCUUCAAGGACCAUCAGAUCCAAAUUUUGAAUUGGAUAUCAAUUCAUGAAGAUAUGCCUUUAUUUAGAUUGAUCUUUAUUACUAUUAGAAUCGAGGAUUAUUAGCCCAAAAUACAAUACAAUGAUAUUUUUGGCUCUAGAAAUUGCAAAUUAAUAUCCAUCAA